Long non-coding RNA from Cavia porcellus (domestic guinea pig), 7126 nucleotides. RefSeq lists it as uncharacterized. The record is from RefSeq and is a predicted model, not a curated record. The transcript is spliced from 6 exons. Lineage: Eukaryota; Metazoa; Chordata; Mammalia; Rodentia; Caviidae.
UUCUUUUUCUGAUGGAAGCUUAUUUAUUUCCAUUAAAUGAAUUCCAUUGAUGUCAUAUUCCAUUCAUGUCAAGGGUAUUGGCCUUUCUCUCUCUCUUCUCUCUCUCUCUCUCUCUCCCUCUCUCUCUCUCUCUCUCUCUCUCUCUCUCUCUGUCUAUGAGAAUGGUUGUUUCUAGUGUUGUAGGGGAAACUGAGCCAACAGUAACCAGGAGCUCAGGAGAAGAAAGGAAAUUUAGUGAUCUCCAGGGGAGUCAUCCUCAAAGUCUGAGGGGGUGAUUGCAUAGAGCUUGUCUUUUCUAUAGAGUGGCAAACACACGUUGCAGGGGACAGUUGCAAGCUUUUAGCUGAAGGUUGUGGUACAAUGGCUAUCUUGUGGUGAACAUAGUUGUGUGUAGCAAAGUUCUCACCACGUUCCCAGGGCUUUCAGUUGAUGAAAUCAUAUGAUUUAGCUGAGUUCCGUGGCUGAGAACAGAAUGGCUUUACCUUGGCUUAACAAAGUGUCUACAGUUUGAUCAGGCUUUCUGCUUUCAUGGUAGGUGUUUUCCAUGAUCCUUCCUUUAAGUGGGUUGUUGCAGGGCUGGAUAUUGCCCUUUCCCUUGACGAUUGGUCAGAUGGUCUCAAUUUUCUAUAUGUACUAUUGCUUAGUUUUGGAUAGUGCCCUGGACAGUUUGCUGGUUGAUUUAGGAGACUCUGGUUCCUAUUAAAAUCCUCAGGCAAGCAAUGGUUUCUCUUGUUCUGUUGUUCUGCAAAGCUGUCAAGGCAGCAGGGUCAGACUGCAUCCUGCAUUUGCUUUGCAGGGUCCAGGUUGUGCUCAGGCCACAGUGCCCCACCCCCAGCCCCGGUGGUCUACUGGAUGCCUGGUGGUUGAUAGCUCAGUCGCUUCCCAAAGCCUUUGCCUUGCUUCUUUGGAACUAUUCUGUGCAAGCCGCUCACUGUGAGUCUAGACCUUGUGCUGGCUCUUACACAGACUUCAGUGAUUUAUUUCUGCAGCUCUCUCCUCUUUAAAAUGCCAUUUACAUUUUCCUGCCACAAGAAGAGAACUUCCCCAGGGCAGGUCAACCCUCAGGCCAUCAGCAACAGCAAUAGAGUACAAACAUAGUGGCAAUUUCCCUCAUUCUCUUCAUACAGCAGAAGUCACUGCCUGUUCCUUUGUGGGCACAGGUCAUUUGUUGGGGCUUUAGGUCCCUCUGCCUCUCUUGAGACUGCUGGACAACUUUGUAACCGUGUUGCUGUGAACAUGGGAGCGCAGAUGGUUUCACUCCUGGUUUCUGUUGUUUUGCAGAAGAACCCAGAAAGGUGUUUCAUUCCUUGACUUAAAGAAACUGAACAGUAGAAGAAAGAACACUGGGUGGCAGAUGGGGCCACAAUGAAGUACAGGAGGAGGUGUCCCUGCGAAGUCAGCAUCAGCCCCAGAUCACCCUACGGGCCGCUCUUGAAAGAAUGAACUCUAAGACACAAGAAAGGUGAUGUGAAACAUUGUCUGACAAUCAGUGAAAACAGUGGUGUGGAUUCUUGGAAUUAAAACAUGCUUCAGAAAGUAAGCUUAUAAUACUACAAACCGAGAAUAAAAAACCUGAGGAAGGAGCUGGACAGUAUGGAAAAUUCAGACAAGAUAAACACCAUGCAACAAAGCCUACAGAAAGAGAUGAAGCUUGCUACAGUUACUCAACAUGUGUUCUAGAGCAUCAUUUUGGGGUGUAAAGUCAACUGGGCAGCAGAUCCAGCACUCAGGGAAACUGUUCUGCAGCUUGAAAAGGCUCUCACCACAGUCUAACAAGAAUUCCACUGGGCCAGGUGUCGCCAUGUGUGCCUUUGAUCUCAGCACUCAGGAGGCUGAAACAAGAGGAUUGCCACAUGCUGAAGACCAGCAAAGAUUUGCACCUUGAAGUUUUUGGAUUUUUGUCUCUGAUAUGUCAUUUAAAUAGCAAGUUUCAAGUGAAAUGAAUUUGCGAUGUUUGGGGAACUCUCCUAAUCUGUAAUUGCUUUUUAGCUUCAGUUAACACUCUAACAUAGAAUCAGUGAUUUUAAAUAACACUAAAGUGACUGUGUACUCUUAAAAGGGGAAUGUCUUAGUCAUAGAAAAGACACCUGGUCUGAUAUCUGAGGAGCAGUUUUGGACAUUCACAAGGUCCCAGCAUUUAACUGUAAUACUUGUGUGCAUUUCUGCAUUUGUCAGUCAGGAUGCAGAGAAGUCUCCAGAGUGUCAGCAGCUGGUGUAAUUCGUAGUGGGGUUCUGAGUAACUGUCUUCUGUUCUCCCUGUGUCUGUUUCUCCUCUCACACAUACUUCUGCUCACACACAUACAUAAUGCUGGCUACACCCUGACAAUGCUGAUGUACAGUGACAUCCAUGCCCAUUCUCAGUUCUGUUUGGACAAAAACUCUUGCCAACUUACCAAGGCUGGCUUCAGACUUGCAACCCUCCUGAACAACUGAGAUUACAAGCAUGUACUGCCAUGUCCAGUACAGCUCUUUAUUAAUUAGGAGCCAUUGAUCAUAUUUAUGGACAGCGUUGUGUUUUCAGUAUUCUUAUUGGAAUAAAGUGAAACUUGAAAAGAUGCGCUCAUUGGAUAAUAGCUCGUGAAAUCUGUUCUUUAGAUUAAUAACAAAGAGAGAUUUCCCUAAGCUCAAAUAGUAGGCUUUUCUUUGAAAUAUUUAUACCUUGUUUUCUUUGAUCAGUCAUAAUGUAUGUAUAGAUUUAUUCUUUUUGUCAGUUAUUGUUUUGAGGUAGAGUCUCACUGUGUCCUUCAGGGCAUUCUUGAACUCACUAGUAGCCCAGGCUGUCCUAGAACUUCCUGCAGUCCUCCUGCCUCAGCCUCCUGAGUAGUAAGGUUACAGGCAUGCACCACCACACCUGAUCUGUUGUUAUCUAUAUCAAUUGUUAUAAAGUAAUUUCCUUUUUUUGUGCAAAUUAUUAUUUUGGAAAAUGCUUUUCCAUUCCAGUAAUCCACACAGGAACUUUUGUUUGUUGUAGUACUGGGCAUUGAACCCAGGGCUAUUGUGCUAAGCUCUCUUGAGCCCUAUAUUUGUUUUUUUAAUUUGUUAUUUUGAGAUAGGAUCUCAUCAAGGUGCUGAGUUGCCCAGGCUGGGCUGAAACUUGAUCCUCCUGCCUCAGCCCCCUAGAAAACUGGCAUUCUAGCAGUGUACUACCACAGUCACUUGACACUGUAUUAGUAAAUUUCAACCUGUGGACCACCUGAAAAAGUGUAUCUUCAUAUACUAAAACAGGUAUAUGUUUAUCUGCGACCUUAGUGGUCUUUGACUUACCUGUUACCCAGCUCUGAGAGAGGAAGUGCGUAGGCUUUGCCUGAACUGUUGCUGAAUACGGAACUCACAGCUCACUGUUUUAGGACAUUUACUUCUGUGUGGGUUUGGGGUUCAGCCGCCCACUCUAGGACUCCAUUUGAGGGAGCAGCCACUCAGCAGAAGGCAGGGGCUCCUUAGAUCAAGUCAAGUGCAUUCCACAAUCAGAAUGUAAUCUUCUGCUUGGGAAAGGCAGCCAUGGCCCCAACCCCACAUCACAGUGGCCUUGGGUUUUGUCCCAGCUAACGAAUGCUGCAUUUCAGAGUCAGGAAAAGGAAAUGGGAAUUUACUACAAAGGACAUGAUCUACCUUAGUCAGCUUUGCUCCAUGAAAUAGACACCCAAGACUAGGGAGGUGCAGGCAGUCCUAGUGACUUGGGAGGCUGGGGCAGAACUGCUUCAGCCAUCAAGAUCAAUCCAGCCUGGGAUACACUUGAGACCUAAUGUCUGGCUUAUAUCCACAUCCACAAAGACACUCCUCUCCAGGAAGUAAGCCAACAGCGCAGCCUCUCCUGGUGGUAUUUCAAGCUUUAAGAGCUCUCUCUCUCUCUCUUGCUCUCAUUCUUGCUCUUUGUCUCUCUCUCUCUAUCUCUCUCUCCCUCCCUAAUCCUGUUGCAGGGGGUCUCCUUAUGUAACUGGCCUAGAACUCACCGGGAUCCUCAUGCCUCCGCCUCCCAAGUGCUGGAGUUACAGGUGUGCUUCACCACACUCAGAUUGUCUUGUUCUUCAGUUGUUUUCUCAUCAGUAUCAGGGACUGAUAACCUGGCUCACAGGCUGUUUUAAUAUAUGAAGUUUUACCACCACGAGGCCGUGCCACUAUGUUCACAUGUUAACUGUGCUUGCUUUCUUGCCAUGAUAAAAUAGUGUAAUCGAAUGAAGUAGCUUAAUAGUGACCCUGAGGCGGCUGCACUGCGCUUUUCCAUAGGAUGAGGUGUUGUGAAAGACAGGUUACCGAGCCCCGUGGUAGUUGGCUUCUGUUUGAGGGAUGGCAAAGAAAUACCAGCAUGGCCCUCUCUCAAGGGCUCAGGGGCUUUGCAUGGGAUUUGAAGAGGAGAUUGUUGCUACCUUGAGUCAGGGUGGCUUUGUGAACUGUGACUGUCAUGCUGUUGGGCCCACGUGUGUUUAUCUGCUCCUCUUACUGUCAUAGGACCCGUGGACCUUGGUGGUACCAUGGGGUGGCAGUUCUGCCUCCCUCAUUUUUGCCUUGACAAGGGCCCAGGCAUCCUGGGGCUGGACCUAGUAAUCCUCAGGUUUUCCCUCACAAUGGAUUAAAAAAUCUAGUUGUGCUGUAGAAUGUUUAUUCUGAAUUACCCAAAUUCUUAAUUGUUUAUGCGAUUCAUUUUACUACUGAGUUACUGCACCCUACAUGUUAGAUCCAAGUAUUUUAUUAAAAUAUUUUUUAUCAGGAAACCUCAGCCUGGACUAGAUACCUCCUGUUCCAUCACCCACUGUGCUCUGGCCUGGCUUCCAGCCAGCACUGGGGAUGGGGUCACUGGCCAAGCAGAGGAAGGGUGAGGCCAAGGAAGGUCGUGGCACACCGGGCACACAGGCCGAGUGUGGGUGGAGGAAUGGAACAGGCGGGUGCGUGCACUAGGCUCUAGUCGGUCCUGGUGUGUGCUCUGCCACCCAGGGAGCAGUGGGUAUGGAUGGCGCAUCCCAUGCCUUGUAAGCAGACACAGUGAAGAUGAGGACGGACAGACUGAGCACUGAUGGUGAAUCAUUGAGUGACCUGAUAGCAGUCUCUGGGCAGACUCUACCUGUGGGAAGUGAAGAUAGAAUUUCUGCUUUUGCUUCAGAAGCAUUUACCAUCCUCAUGCUGUGGAAAAGUGAUCUGCAAGGAGCCUGCAUUGGGAAUUCCAUGAAGCAGAGUCAGUGCCAGUGCUCUCUUGGCAGGAUCCCUGAAACGGUCCAUUCGGAUGUGAUCGGGAAUUUGUGUUGCACUGAACACUUUCUUAUGCCUCCUGUGUGACUGCGUUUUGCUUAGUUUAUAUUUUUAUUGGUGUGUGAUCAUGGUACGUAAUGAUUAUAUUCAUCGGAGAUAGUUGGUGGAUAUGCAUGAUAGACUUUUCCUCGAUGUGGUAGAAAAACAAGAGUAAAGAAAGCAAAGAACAAAAAGGCCUUUAUUGCUGGCAUGGGAGGGCUGCAGUGGGGUGCAAGAUCCCUUCAGGGCAGGCAAAGAAACCUGGAGCCUUUUGUUCAGUUUGAGAGGGGUGGAGUUCGAUGGGGUGGGCAGAGUGACAUUUUGACAGUUGUUUGAGGGAUUGUUGAUGUGUGCACAAGUGGGAAGUUCACUUUUUGGGUUUGCAAGAAGAACGUGGAAGUCAGUUUUGAAGUGAGGUACGGUCCAGUGCCAUGUUGGGCAGGCACCAUGCUGAGCCUGGCACUGCUCCACAGGAGCGGAAUCCAUUAUUCCCAUCUUUUGGGUGUUAGAGGCAGCCACUCUUAAACUGCUUCCUGCUGACUGGGGUGACAUGAUGGGCAUUGAAGUAGUCAUUGUGAUGACAGUUUGGACCCGUGUAGAAUCUGGUACCAGGGGUUUCCUCAGGACAAGGAAUCACCUUGUUAUAAAGGCCCACAACCUGGAUUGAAGAAAUCUUGAGAAAAGUUUAAACAGACAAGGAGCUAUAAUCAAAAAAUAACAAGUAAUAUAAGUGGUCCUUCCAGGGGAAGAAGCUAGGAGGAAAGUGUUCCCUUUUCUAUAAGAACAGCAGUCAGAUUUUUUUGCAGAUAUUAUCGUAAUAUAUUUUUAAUCGCCCAUAACAGUUGUUAAAUACUGGGAUAAUUGGAAACUGCCUGAAGAGGUUAUACUUGGAGCCCUUUUUAUAUUUAACUUAUACACAUUUUUAUAUCCUUUGAUUAUAUUUUAUACUGGAUGUUUAAGACCAAGUUAAAUUGAGACCUGUGUUAAUUAAAAGUAACCUCUUGCUAUCUGUCAAGGUCAGGUAAGUCUCCUCAGGAUUUGUCUUGGAACCAUGUGUGGAGCCUCUCAGUUCUUGACAGUGUCAGCCAUCAGGAUGGUCAAGCAAUGAGCCAUUGCUUGACCAAUUUUGUUUCUGUGAAAACUUGGGGGAAUUUUCUCCUGGUGACUCUCCUUAGGCACACUAUAUAUUGUGUCACACUUGUUUGUAGUCCCAUAAUCUCCUUGAUCACAAGACCCAUGGAGAUAAGGAAUGUCAUUGCAGAGGUUCUCAUAUCCUGGAUCUUCAGUGACCUCAGAGGGCCGCAAACAAAAUAAUGGUUGUCCUCCCAGCCCAUUCAUCUUUUUAAUUUUUGGUCUCCAAAUAUCUAUUGUUGAACAUCCAGAAGUAAGGAUUGGUAAUAUUAUAGUGUAACAAGGCAGCAUGUUUAGCAUUAUUACCUUACCUGAAUAUCAAGCAGCUUGAACAUAAAAUAGCAACCAAUAUUUCUAUCAAUCAUCCAUGUCCUAAUACUUAAACCCAUGGAAAAUGUUAACAGUUACAUACUUUUCACAGAAAAUCUAAAAUCAAAACUAUACAUAAUAUUGUGGCAUGACAAUUAUGACACUUUGUGUCAAUCUGAAUUUGACCUAAGAUACCCCUUUUAGUGGAUCAUCACUAUCUAGUACAUAAGCUUUACCUGACUGGUUUAUCUUUAGUGGGAUGAGCAUGUAGUAAGUUUGUGUUACAGGCAGAGGUCUGAAUCUGAAACAAUUUUGUUAAACAAUCUCUGUUUUACAUUUUUGGAAGGAAGACCUGUACAUGUGGAAGCAUGAAUACAUUAAUACACCAUAAGGUUAAUAACAAACUAUCCUUUCAUGUGAAACCGUUGUAUCAGAGCAUAUUUAAAUAAAAAAAAUUAUUGUAUGA